ACCCUCCCGCAUCAGCACCGGCUGGGUGGGUGCGGAGUGCGCCAGCGGCCAAGUCAAGACUCCUUGAAUGCUCAGGAAGGUGUGACUUGCAGAGGAGUUGAUUCCUUCUUAUGUACAUUUACUGGAGAAGUUUACAGCAGGAGACUGGGGUCUGAGACACACGCAUCUUUGUGUGCCCCAAAGAAUAAAGCCCUCAAAGGAUGUGAAGCCUGAACUCACUUCAAAUGCUGGAAAGGCCCUUUCCUUAGCUGAGCUGUGGAGGAACCAGGACUCCUGUGGCACUGCCCUAACGAGGAGGCAGUGCUGCCAGAUUCAGAAAAAUAUUUGAAGAAUCACAUAGUCAAAAGCAAAAAUCCAGAAAUGGUCAAGAGAACUACGAUUAUUGAGCCUCACUGAGUGUUCACACUGGUCUGCAAGACAGCUUUGAUUCAGCUGAUUUCAGCCAGGCUCACCCCGACUUUGCAGGGCGCUGCGAACCCCAGCCUUCAGGUCGGGUUCAGCAUCCAGCAGUGCCCUGGAAAAGUGGCUGUGAAGUUACUUGCAAGACUGCAUUGAACCCGGGCGAGACACUUCUCAGGGGAGCUGUCCAGCUACAUUCUCUGAGUGAAGACAAGGAAUGCAAAGCUCACGGAUGCCGAGGAAUUUAUCCAAGAUCACUGUGAUGGGAUGGGAACUUUGGUUUUCAGCCUUUAAAUACAUUGGUGCAGAAGUCCAAGAAAGAUGCUUGGAAAGACCUAGUGAGAUGAAGAUCUCACUAUGUUGCCUGGGCUGGUCUUGAAUUCCUGAGCUCAAGUGAUCCUCCAACCUUGGCCUCCCAAAGUGAUGGAAUUACAGGCGUGAGUCACUGCACCUGGCUGAUACCAUUAUUUUUAAAGUUGGUUUCUUAUAGAUGACAUAAAAUUGGAUCUCCCCUCCCCUACAUUCAAUCUGACCGUUUCUGACUUUGAAUUGAUGUGUUUAAACCACUUACAUUAAUUAUUGAUACAGUUGAAUUUAGGCUACCCUUUUCUUAUUUGUUUUCUGCAUAUCUUCUCUGUUUUUCAUUUUUCUCUUUCCCCCUU
RNAcentral lists this long non-coding RNA (1061 nucleotides) under Homo sapiens (human). RNAcentral describes it as "non-protein coding lnc-CHD2-2:10". The record is from RNAcentral. Lineage: Eukaryota; Metazoa; Chordata; Mammalia; Primates; Hominidae.